RNAcentral lists this ribosomal RNA (252 nucleotides) under uncultured bacterium. RNAcentral describes it as "partial 16S ribosomal RNA". It matches the Rfam family "Bacterial small subunit ribosomal RNA", at positions 524 to 776 of the family's 1533-position model. The record is from RNAcentral.
UACGUAAGGCCCGAGCGUUGUCCGGAUUCAUUGGGCGUAAAGGGUACGUAGGCGGUUAGUUAAGUUAGAAGUAAAAGGCGAUAGCUCAACUAUUGUAAGCUUUGAAAACUGUUAGACUUGAGAGAAGGAAGGGAGAGUGGAAUUCCAAGUGUAGCGGUGAAGUGCGCAGAUAUUAGGAGGAAUACCGGUGGCGAAGGCGACUUUCUGGCCAUUAUCUGACGCUGAGGUACGAAAGCGUGGGUAGCAAACAGG